GGGCAACCUGCCUGUAAGACUGGGAUAACUCCGGGAAACCGGUGCUAAUACCAGAUACAAUCAAAGACUGCCUGGUCUUUGAUGGAAAGGUCUUGUACCGCUUACAGAUGGGCCCGCGGCGCAUUAGCUAGUUGGUGGGGUAACGGCCUACCAAGGCGACGAUGCGUAGCCGACCUGAGAGGGUGAUCGGCCACACUGGGACUGAGACACGGCCCAGACUCCUACGGGAGGCAGCAGUAGGGAAUCUUCCGCAAUGGACGAAAGUCUGACGGAGCAACGCCGCGUGAGUGAUGAAGGCUUUCGGGUCGUAAAACUCUGUUGUCAGGGAAGAACAUCCGGGAUAACCUCCCGGUCUGACGGUACCUGAUCAGAAAGCCCCGGCUAACUACGUGCCAGCAGCCGCGGUAAUACGUAGGGGGCAAGCGUUGUCCGGAAUUAUUGGGCGUAAAGCGCGCGCAGGCGGUCUCUUAAGUCUGGUGUGAAAGC
RNAcentral lists this ribosomal RNA (486 nucleotides) under uncultured Bacillus sp. RNAcentral describes it as "bacterial SSU rRNA". It matches the Rfam family "Bacterial small subunit ribosomal RNA", at positions 119 to 601 of the family's 1533-position model. The record is from RNAcentral. Lineage: Bacteria; Bacillati; Bacillota; Bacilli; Caryophanales; Bacillaceae.